UUUCCGGUUGAUCCCGCCGGGACUGACUGCUAUCGGAUUGAUACUAAGCCAUGCGAGUCAUUGUAGUAAUACAAGGCAGACGGCUCAGUAACGCGUAGUCAACCUACCCUAUGGACGGGGAUAACCUCGGGAAACUGAGAAUAAUACCCGAUAGAACAUUAUGCCUGGAAUGGUUUAUGUUUCAAAUAAUUUAUUGCCGUAGGAUGGGACUGCGGCCUAUCAGUUUGUUGGUGAGGUAAUGGCCCACCAAGACUAUUACAGGUACGGGCUCUGAGAGGAGUAGCCCGGAGAUGGGUACUGAGACACGGACCCAGGCCCUAUGGGGCGCAGCAGGCGAGAAAACUUUGCAAUGUGCGAAAGCACGACAAGGUUAAUCCGAGUGGUUUCUGCUAAAGGAACCUUUUGUCAGUCCUAGAAACACUGAUGAAUAAGGGGUGGGCAAGUUCUGGUGUCAGCCGCCGCGGUAAAACCAGCACCUCAAGUGGUCAGGAUGAUUAUUGGGCCUAAAGCAUCCGUAGCCUGCUUUGUAAGUUUUCGGUUAAAUCCAUAUGCUCAACGUAUGGGCUGCCGGGAAUACUGCAAAGCUAGGGAGUGGGAGAGGUAGACGGUACUCGGUAGGAAGGGGUAAAAUCCUUUGAUCUAUUGAUGACCACCUGUGGCGAAGGCGGUCUACCAGAACACGUCCGACGGUGAGGGAUGAAAGCUGGGGGAGCAAACCGGAUUAGAUACCCGGGUAGUCCCAGCUGUAAACUAUGCAAACUCAGUGAUGCAUUGGCUUGAUGCCAAUGCAGUGCUGCAGGGAAGCCGUUAAGUUUGCCGCCUGGGAAGUACGUACGCAAGUAUGAAACUUAAAGGAAUUGGCGGGGGAGCACCACAAGGGGUGAAGCCUGCGGUUCAAUUGGAGUCAACGCCGGA
This 915-nucleotide ribosomal RNA is filed under the name uncultured archaeon. Its description in RNAcentral is "bacterial SSU rRNA". It matches the Rfam family "Archaeal small subunit ribosomal RNA", at positions 1 to 922 of the family's 1478-position model. The record is from RNAcentral.